UACGGAGGGGGCUAGCGUUGUUCAGAAUUACUGGGCGUAAAGCGCGCGUAGGCGGACCUGCAAGUCGGGGGUGAAAGCCCGAGGCUCAACCUCGGAACUGCCUUCGAUACUGCGGGUCUCGAGUCCGGGAGAGGUGAGUGGAAUUCCUAGUGUAGAGGUGAAAUUCGUAGAUAUCAGGAAGAACACCAAUGGCGAAAGCAGCUUUCUGGGACGGUACUGACGCUGAGACGCGAAAGCGUGGGGAGCGAACAGG
RNAcentral lists this ribosomal RNA (253 nucleotides) under uncultured bacterium. RNAcentral describes it as "partial 16S ribosomal RNA". It matches the Rfam family "Bacterial small subunit ribosomal RNA", at positions 524 to 776 of the family's 1533-position model. The record is from RNAcentral.